AAAAGUGAAGUUUUGGAGUCAAACUAGGAAGAGUAAACUACACGAGUGGACUACUUGGAGCGUGGUCGGCUCGCGAGUCACGCAAAUGGACUGAUUGGGCCAUGCAGGUCUGCUUCUUGGGCGUAUGUUGCACGCACGCAAGUCGUGGGAUAUGUGAUAGGCUUCCUAUGCACUUGCGCAUUGCCGCUCGUAGGCCGACAUGCAUUGGACUUAUGGGCUUGUUUGGCUGUACGUCUCACAUGCUCCCGCAUGCAAGUAAGGUUUCUGCAUAUGCGAGUGGGUUGUCCCACACAUGUGAUGUUCCACACAUGUGCUAAAGGGGUCACACAUGACACAUGUUGUCCAUGGAUCUCUUUUGGGCCUUGGCCCACUUUGGCCAUUAGUUCUUUCGGCCACCUUCGGUUGGGCCAUAAAUGGGCUUUUCUUUUUGUCUUUUAACCUCUCCAAGUCUAUGAAGUGUUACUUAGACUUCA
This 473-nucleotide long non-coding RNA is filed under the name Carica papaya (papaya). Its description in RNAcentral is "long non-coding RNA (CPAP_LNC004106)". The record is from RNAcentral. Lineage: Eukaryota; Viridiplantae; Streptophyta; Magnoliopsida; Brassicales; Caricaceae.